GAUGAACGCUGGCGGCGUGCCUAAUACAUGCAAGUCGAGCGGUAAGGCUCCUUCGGGAGUACACGAGCGGCGGACGGGUGAGUAAUACGUAGGAACGUACCCCAAAGUGAGGAAUAACCAGCCGAAAGGUUGGCUAAUACCGCAUAUGCUCUACGGAGUAAAGCAGCAAUGCGCUUUGGGAACGGCCUGCGUCCGAUUAGCUAGUUGGUAAGGUAAAGGCUUACCAAGGCGACGAUCGGUAGCUGUUCUGAGAGGAUGAUCAGCCACACUGGAACUGAGGCACGGUCCAGACUCCUACGGGAGGCAGCAGUAGGGAAUUUUCCACAAUGGGCGAAAGCCUGAUGGAGCAACGCCGCGUGCAGGAUGAAGGCCUUAGGGUUGUAAACUGCUUUUAUCUGUGACGAUUAUGACAGUAGCAGAUGAAUAAGGAUCGGCUAACUCCGUGCCAGCCGCCGCCGUAA
This 461-nucleotide ribosomal RNA is filed under the name uncultured bacterium. RNAcentral's name for it is "partial 16S ribosomal RNA". It matches the Rfam family "Bacterial small subunit ribosomal RNA", at positions 28 to 523 of the family's 1533-position model. The record is from RNAcentral.